Molecule: long non-coding RNA, 802 nt
Organism: Salvia miltiorrhiza (redroot sage)
Lineage: Eukaryota; Viridiplantae; Streptophyta; Magnoliopsida; Lamiales; Lamiaceae
Exons: 3
Source: RefSeq, a predicted model, not a curated record
UAGUCUUCUAUUUUUAUCCUCAGCUAUCAACGCCAUGUUUUCAUAUAUAUCAAAUUCAUCACUUUCCUAUACUGCCUGUAUAAUUUUCAAAACACAGAUUUAUCAUUUAUCAAGCAAGAAUCAUGUCUUCGUCUUUCACUGCGCAUCUUCAAAAUGGUGCGACACGAUUAAGACAUGAAUCUUUACUGAAUUAUUCAAGUCAGUUAUCAAGUUCAAAUUUCAGUUUCAGGUAAUUGACGUUUGAGACGCGUGGAGGGUCGAAUGGGUACAUCAAGUCAUUUUGCAAGUAGUUAAUUUUAAUUGAUUUCAAAUUAUGAUUGAAUUAAUAGUUAAAUAUCUUCAUGGCUCAUUUAUGUCAUGAUUUGGGACAAUGUGUUGAUUGUUGGCUUUAAAUCAAAGUUAGUAUUUGAGUAUAUUAUUUAAAAGUUAGUAUUUUUUUUAAAAUCGUUUUAAAAAGUGUUUUAAAAAUUUAUUUAAAAGUGUUUUAAAGGUUUAUAUCGUUUCAAGGUUUACAUUAUUUAAAUUAUUUUUAGAAUAUAUAUGUACACAUAUAUACAUAUAGACUUCCGCAUUAAAUAUUUAUUUAAAAAUUUAGAAUAGCAUCUUAAUUAGAUUAGGGUGUUAUAACAUGGUAUCAGAGCAGGUCUACUUUCCUGUAGACUCUGCAAACUAAAAUUUCUUAAUGAUUUUAAAAAGUUAUAUGCGACAAUGCCAUUCGACCACUAUGCGCUCCGACUUCAAGGUAAAGGUAUUUCAAAAAAAUUCAAGGGGAUGAGUAUAAAUUGUUUAUAUUUCGAAAUGA